Molecule: transfer RNA, 27 nt
Filed under: Sphagnum cuspidatum
Lineage: Eukaryota; Viridiplantae; Streptophyta; Sphagnopsida; Sphagnales; Sphagnaceae
Description: partial tRNA-His
Source: RNAcentral
GGCGGACGUGGCCAAGUGGAUUAAGGC